GUGGGGAAUCUUGCGCAAUGGGCGAAAGCCUGACGCAGCCAUGCCGCGUGAAUGAUGAAGGUCUUAGGAUUGUAAAAUUCUUUCACCGGGGACGAUAAUGACGGUACCCGGAGAAGAAGCUCCGGCUAACUUCGUGCCAGCAGCCGCGGUAAUACGAAGGGGGCUAGCGUUGCUCGGAAUUACUGGGCGUAAAGGGCGCGUAGGCGGACAGCUUAGUCAGAGGUGAAAGCCCAGGGCUCAGCCUUGGAAUUGCCUUUGAUACUGGCUGUCUUGAGUUUGGGAGAGGUGAGUGGAACUCCGAGUGUAGAGGUGAAAUUCGUAGAUAGUCGGAAGAACACCAGUGGCGAAGGCGACUCACUGGCCCAAUACUGACGCUGAGGCGCGAAAGCGUGGGGAGCAAACAGGAUUAGAAACCCCAGUAGUCC
Molecule: ribosomal RNA, 425 nt
Filed under: uncultured bacterium
Lineage: Bacteria
Description: partial 16S ribosomal RNA
Rfam family: Bacterial small subunit ribosomal RNA
Source: RNAcentral